AUUGAACGCUGGCGGCAGGCCUAACACAUGCAAGUCGAGCGGAUGAGGAGAGCUUGCUCUUUGAUUCAGCGGCGGACGGGUGAGUAAUGCCUAGGAAUUUGCCUGGUAGUGGGGGACAACGUUUCGAAAGGAACGCUAAUACCGCAUACGUCCUACGGGAGAAAGUGGGGGAUUUUCGGACCUCACGCUAUCAGAUGAGCCUAGGUCGGAUUAGCUAGUUGGUGAGGUAACGGCUCACCAAGGCGACGAUCCGUAACUGGUUUGAGAGGAUGAUCAGUCACACUGGAACUGAGACACGGUCCAGACUCCUACGGGAGGCAGCAGUGGGGAAUAUUGGACAAUGGGCGAAAGCCUGAUCCAGCCAUGCCGCGUGUGUGAAGAAGGCCCUCGGGUCGUAAAGCACUUUAAGCUGGGAGGAAGGGUUGUAACCUAAUACGUUGCAAUUUUGACGUUAAAAGCAGAAUAAGCACCGGCUAACUCUGUG
This 484-nucleotide ribosomal RNA is filed under the name uncultured bacterium. RNAcentral describes it as "bacterial SSU rRNA". It matches the Rfam family "Bacterial small subunit ribosomal RNA", at positions 30 to 507 of the family's 1533-position model. The record is from RNAcentral.